UACGUAGGGUGCAAGCGUUGUUCGGAAUUACUGGGCGUAAAGCGCGCGUAGGCGGCUACCUAAGUCGGAUGUGAAAGCCCCUGGCUUAACUGGGGAAGUGCACCCGAAACUGGGUAGCUAGAGUGCAAAAGAGGGUCGCGGAAUUCCCGGUGUAGAGGUGAAAUUCGUAGAUAUCGGGAGGAACACCGGUGGCGAAGGCGGCGACCUGGGUUGACACUGACGCUGAGGCGCGAAAGCGUGGGGAGCAAACAGG
RNAcentral lists this ribosomal RNA (253 nucleotides) under uncultured bacterium. RNAcentral's name for it is "partial 16S ribosomal RNA". It matches the Rfam family "Bacterial small subunit ribosomal RNA", at positions 524 to 776 of the family's 1533-position model. The record is from RNAcentral.